RNAcentral lists this ribosomal RNA (607 nucleotides) under Bacillus pumilus. RNAcentral describes it as "bacterial SSU rRNA". It matches the Rfam family "Bacterial small subunit ribosomal RNA", at positions 54 to 641 of the family's 1533-position model. The record is from RNAcentral. Lineage: Bacteria; Bacillati; Bacillota; Bacilli; Caryophanales; Bacillaceae.
UGGCAAGGUCCGGAGCGGACAGAUGGGCGCUUGCUCCCGGAUGUUAGCGGCGGACGGGUGAGUAGCACGUGGGUGACCUGCCUGUAAGACUGGGAUAACUCCGGGAAACCGGAGCUAAUACCGGAUAGUUCCUUGAACCGCAUGGUUCACGGAUGAAAGACGGUUUCUGCUGUCACUUACAGAUGGACCCGCGGCGCAUUAGCUAGUUGGUGAGGUAACGGCUCACCAAGGCGACGAUGCGUAGCCGACCUGAGAGGGUGAUCGGCCACACUGGGACUGAGACACGGCCCAAACUCCUACGGGAGAAUUUUGUAGGGAAUCUUCCGCCCUGGACCAAAGUCUGACGGAGCGCCACCACGUGAGUGAUGAAGGUUUUCGGAUCUUAAAGCUCUGUUGUUAGGGAAGAACAUGUGCCAGAGUAACUGCUUGCACCUUGACAGUACCUAACCAUAAAUCCACGGCUAACUACGUGCCAGCACCCGCGGUGAUACCUAUGUGCCAAGCGUUUGCCGGAAUUAUUGGGCGUAAAGGGCUCGCAGGCGGUAUCUUAAAUCUGAUAUGAAAGCCCCCGGCUCACCCUUGGAGGGUCAUUGCAAACUGGGGAAAC